This 351-nucleotide ribosomal RNA is filed under the name uncultured bacterium. RNAcentral describes it as "bacterial SSU rRNA". It matches the Rfam family "Bacterial small subunit ribosomal RNA", at positions 917 to 1269 of the family's 1533-position model. The record is from RNAcentral.
GGACCCGCACAAGCGGUGGAGCAUGUGGUUUAAUUCGAUGCAACGCGAAAAACCUUACCUACUCUUGACAUACUUGGGGAGCUCUUGUAAUGAGAGUGUGCCUUAUGGAACCAAGAUACAGGUGCUGCAUGGCUGUCGUCAGCUCGUGUCGUGAGAUGUUCCGUUAAGUCGGAUAACGAGCGCAACCCUUACCCUUAUUUGCCAGCGAUUCGGUCGGGAACUAUAAGGGACUGCCGGUGAUAAACCGGAGGAAGGUGAGGACGACGUCAAGUCAUCAUGGCCCUUACGAGUAGGGCUACACACGUGCUACAAUGGGAAAUACAGACGGACGCUAAGCCGCGAGGUGGUGCU